UGGGGGAUAUUGCACAAUGGACGAAAGUCUGAUGCAGCGACGUCGUGUGGGGGAUGAAGGCCUUCGGGUUGUAAACUCCUUUCGCCCGCGGAAAAGGCAGGGUUUUGGCCUUGUUGAUGGUAGUGGGUAAAGAAGCGCCGGCUAACUACGUGCCAGCAGCCGCGGUAAUACGUAGGGCGCGAGCGUUGUCCGGAAUUAUUGGGCGUAAAGGGCUCGUAGGCGGUUUGUCGCGUCUAGCGUUUAAGGCUCGGGCUUAACCCGGGUUUGCGUUGGGUACGGGCAGGCUUGAGUGCGGUAGGGGUAACUGGAAUUCCUGGUGUAGCGGUGGAAUGCGAAGAUAUCAGGAGGAACACCGGUGGCGAAGGCGGGUUACUGGGCCGUUACUGACGCUGAGGAGCGAGAGCGUGGGGAGCGAACAGG
This 420-nucleotide ribosomal RNA is filed under the name bacterium. RNAcentral describes it as "partial 16S ribosomal RNA". It matches the Rfam family "Bacterial small subunit ribosomal RNA", at positions 355 to 776 of the family's 1533-position model. The record is from RNAcentral.